UGCUUAACACAUGCAAGUCGAACGAAGCACUUUCUUUGAUGGCUUCGGAAUGAAGUUUUAGUGACUGAGUGGCGGACGGGUGAGUAACGCAUGGGUAACCUGCCUCACACAGGGGGAUAGCAGUUGGAAACGGCUGCUAAUACCGCAUAAGCGCACAGUACCGCAUGGUACAGUGUGAAAAACUCCGGUGGUGUGAGAUGGACCCGCGUCUGAUUAGCUAGUUGGCAGGGUAGCGGCCUACCAAGGCGACGAUCAGUAGCCGACCUGAGAGGGUGACCGGCCACAUUGGGACUGAGACACGGCCCAAACUCCUACGGGAGGCAGCAGUGGGGAAUAUUGCACAAUGGGGGAAACCCUGAUGCAGCGACGCCGCGUGAGCGAAGAAGUGUUUCGGUAUGUAAAGCUCUAUCAGCAGGGAAGAAGAAAUGACGGUACCUGACUAAGAAGCACCGGCUAAAUACGUGCCAGCAGCCGCGGUAAUACGUAUGGUGCAAGCGUUAUCCGGAUUUACUGGGUGUAAAGGGAGCGCAGGCGGAAGGCUAAGUCUGAUGUGAAAGCCCGGGGCUCAACCCCGGUACUGCAUUGGAAACUGGUCAUCUAGAGUGUCGGAGGGGUAAGUGGAAUUCCUAGUGUAGCGGUGAAAUGCGUAGAUAUUAGGAGGAACACCAGUGGCGAAGGCGGCUUACUGGACGAUAACUGACGCUGAGGCUCGAAAGCGUGGGGAGCAAACAGGAUUAGAUACCCUGGUAGUCCCCGCCGUACACGAUGAAUACUAAGUGUCGGAAAGCACAGCUUUUCGGUG
Molecule: ribosomal RNA, 802 nt
Filed under: uncultured organism
Description: SSU rRNA
Rfam family: Bacterial small subunit ribosomal RNA
Source: RNAcentral